Molecule: ribosomal RNA, 492 nt
Filed under: uncultured bacterium
Lineage: Bacteria
Description: partial 16S ribosomal RNA
Rfam family: Bacterial small subunit ribosomal RNA
Source: RNAcentral
AGUGAACGCUGGCGGUAGGCCUAACACAUGCAAGUCGAACGGCAGCACAGUAAGAGCUUGCUCUUACGGGUGGCGAGUGGCGGACGGGUGAGGAAUACAUCGGAAUCUACUUUUUCGUGGGGGAUAACGUAGGGAAACUUACGCUAAUACCGCAUACAACCUACGGGUGAAAGCAGGGGAUCUUCGGACCUUGCGCGAUUGAAUGAGCCGAUGUCGGAUUAGCUAGUUGGCGGGGCAAAGGCCCACCAAGGCGACGAUCCGUAGCUGGUCUGAGAGGAUGAUCAGCCACACUGGAACGGAGACACGGUCCAGACUCCUACGGGAGGCAGCAGUGGGGAAUAUUGGACAAUGGGCGCAAGCCUGAUCCAGCCAUACCGCGUGGGUGAAGAAGGCCUUCGGGUUGUAAAGCCCUUUUGUUGGGAAAGAAAAGCAGCAGGUUAAUACCCCGCUGUUCUGACGGUACCCAAAGAAUAAGCACCGGCUAACUUCGUG